This 460-nucleotide ribosomal RNA is filed under the name uncultured bacterium. RNAcentral's name for it is "partial 16S ribosomal RNA". It matches the Rfam family "Bacterial small subunit ribosomal RNA", at positions 338 to 795 of the family's 1533-position model. The record is from RNAcentral.
CCUACGGGAGGCAGCAGUGAGGAAUAUUGGUCAAUGGUCGGGAGACUGAACCAGCCAAGCCGCGUGAGGGAUGAAGGUACAGAGUAUCGUAAACCUCUUUUGUCAGGGAACAAAGGCGGGGACGUGUCCCCGGUUGAGUGUACUUGAUGAAAAAGCAUCGGCUCACUCCGUGCCAGCAGCCGCGGUAAUACGGAGGAUGCGAGCGUUAUCCGGAUUUAUUGGGUUUAAAGGGUGCGUAGGUGGUUUGUUAAGUCAGCGGUUAAAGGGCGGGGCUCAACCCGCAGCCCGCAGUUGACACUGGCAGUCUUGAGUUGGAGAGAAGUAUGCGGAAUGCGCGGUGUAGCGGUGAAAUGCAUAGAUAUCGCGAAGAACUCCGAUUGCGAAGGCAGCAUGCCGGCUCCACACUGACGCUGAGGCACGAAAGCGUGGGUAUCGAACAGGAUUAGAUACCCGAGUAGUC